This 497-nucleotide ribosomal RNA is filed under the name uncultured bacterium. RNAcentral's name for it is "partial 16S ribosomal RNA". It matches the Rfam family "Bacterial small subunit ribosomal RNA", at positions 28 to 507 of the family's 1533-position model. The record is from RNAcentral.
GAUGAACGCUGGCGGCGUGCCUAACACAUGCAAGUCGAGCGGACAGACGAGGCUUUUGCUUGGAUUCCGCGAGGGGCGGGCGAGUGAGUCACACGAGUAUGCCUUCCCUAUCAGUAUGAGAUCACGACGGGAACGCGGAUAUAACACACGAUGAGAUCUUGAAACACGGGGAUCUUUGGACAAAGCCGGCUUUGCUGACACUAGUAGAGGGUACCGAGCCGGAUUAGCUAGUUGGUAGGGUAACGGCUUACCAAGGCUACGAUGCGUAGCCGACCUGAGAGGAUGAUCGGCCACACUGGAACUGAGACACGGUCCAGACUCCUACGGGAGGCAGCAGUAGGGAAUCUUGGGCAAUGGGCGAAAGCUUGACACAGCAAUGCCGCGUGUGUGAUGAAGGUCUUCGGAUCGUAAAGCACUGUUAGUAGGGAAGAACAGAUGUAGAUUAAUACGUGGCCGUCUUGACGGUACCUAAUCAAGAAGCACCGGCUAACUACGUG